GUAGUCGAUUUGCAUUUAAUCUGAUCGUUACUUCACUUCAUCUUCCUUUUCUGUAUUCAAUUCUCAUUAUAAACCCCAAACAAAAUUCUUAAUAGGAGAGAAGCUAGAAUGAGAAGGCAGGGAAUGUGACUUACUCCGAAAGUGAACCAGCUACGUUACUCCGGCCACCCUAUCGGUCAACCUCGGUGAUAGAGACCGAUGCUUUGUUUUGGGGAUUAACUGGUGGGGUUGAACCUAUACAGCAACGACGAUGUACCGAUUAGGCGACAAAUCAGGUUCCGGUCAAGGCUAGGGUUCCAGCGAGUACGUCGGGUUGGAUAGAUGUGUGAAAUUGUGGUCAUAUCUAAUGAUUUAGAGGUCAUCAAAGCUGGUUGGGCUAAGUCAUUUGCACCAUUUCCUAAAGAUUGAUAGUGAUGUUCACGUUCUGGUGUUAGACAAAAAAAUCUGUGGAGAUGUUCAAAGUAAACUGCUAACGGUUCUUGAAAGUGGCAAACCAAACUAGCUGGGUUGAUUGGACUGGACUGGUCAAAUUGGUUCAGUUUGGCGGUUUGAACCAAGGCCUCAACCAAAACUUUCUAUAAUUUUCAGUUUUGUUUUAUGUGCAGUGGGAGUUUAGGUUCGCUUAACCAGGGUAACUUUCAUUAAUGAAGAAGCCGACCCAAAGCAGGCCGUCCAACAGAAACAACUACAAGAUUACAUAUUUACAAAAGAGCUCCACUUUCCCCAAACCGAUUGAGGUAAGAUAAGUCUUGCUGGAUUGCUAUUUUUCUUUUAAGUUUUCACAUAGUUUCAACAUAGUCACAGAAAUCGCUCAUCCUCCCGCGAAUUCCGUAUUGGAUCGUUUUGUACCAAAUCGGUACUGGUACGUGACUGGAAUUGAAUGAUACGCUGUACCAAUUUGAUUUUUCAAUCACUCAGAUGUUGUUGGGUUCUGUUAAUUGGAUCGUUAAUUUAGGCUAGCCGCUGCAAGAGAAAACGCGUCUGGUACGUAUGGUAAUAUCAAAUCAGAAAUCACGUGUGAAAAUAGAGAUAGGGCCACUAUUAUCAGAAAGUUUGUUGAACAUGGAACGAAUCGUUGUCCGAUUGGGCUAAGGGUAUAUCAGAAAGUUUAUGUUUAUUUUUUCUAUUUCGUAAUAUGAAGUUUGGAUUUUUAUUAUUUGGUUUAUGAAUUUAGUAAUUUCUGUUUUAAUUUUUGUAUAUCGAACAGGACUCAAUGGUACACCGCAGUUGCUAAUCGUGGUUGCUCAAUCCGUGUGGGGCGUGAUACUGAGGCCGCUGGCGAAGAAUCCUAAUUGUAACGAAGAACAAAAACUGUGUCCGAAUUGUACAUGGUAAUGCGAAUUGAGGAAGUCAGUAGGAGCAAAAGGGCUGCACUUGUUUGAUAGUUGACAUGCACAGCUUCACCGGUGCCACAGAUUGAGACGUGGGUUUGUUUGCGGUGGGGUUUCUUGGUGGUGGGAAGUGGAGAGGUCUGGCGGUUGUUAAAGUUCCUGGGCUGAGAGAGAUGCGAGAGAGAAACAGCAGAGACGCAGUCGCAGAGAUUAGAG
This 1547-nucleotide long non-coding RNA is filed under the name Helianthus annuus (common sunflower). Lineage: Eukaryota; Viridiplantae; Streptophyta; Magnoliopsida; Asterales; Asteraceae. The record is from RNAcentral.